UUGAGAAGUAAGUUUCGCCAAUUGAGCUUGAAUGGUAGCAAAACCCAUGUCUUACUUCUCUAGUACUUGAAAUCAAGGAAACAAAACUAAAUCAAAUAUCAUAAGUAAAAAUAAAAGACACAAAUAGAAACAAAGUCAGUAACUAAAACAAAAAACAUGAAAAAGAAACAACAGGGGAUUAGCAAAGUUGCUAAUCCCCGGCAACGGCGCCAAAAAUUUGGUGCGAAAAUUACCUUAACACACAAAUUAAACCCUCUUGUUGUCAAUUGUAGUAAAGAAU
RNAcentral lists this long non-coding RNA (280 nucleotides) under Malus domestica (apple). Its description in RNAcentral is "long non-coding RNA (MDOM_LNC013484)". Lineage: Eukaryota; Viridiplantae; Streptophyta; Magnoliopsida; Rosales; Rosaceae. The record is from RNAcentral.